AGAAAAUGUCAAUUGGCAAUUAUUAUUCUUCUUGUUAUUUUCUGUUUUUAUUGUUGUUGAGAAGAAAAUUUUGUUAAGAAGAAGAGAAGAUCAAGUACUCUUCAUCAAUGCAACUUUAAAUAACAGUGCAUGCCUCUGCAUGUGGACUUCACAGACUAGGUUGUAAAAUUGGCAAUGAUUGUGAUUUCUUUUCCCUUUUUUUUCUUUGUAGUGUGAAUUGUUAGCUUUUUU
RNAcentral lists this unclassified non-coding RNA (231 nucleotides) under Hevea brasiliensis (rubber tree). Lineage: Eukaryota; Viridiplantae; Streptophyta; Magnoliopsida; Malpighiales; Euphorbiaceae. The record is from RNAcentral.